AGAGGUUGGACUGGCUCAGAUUGAACGCUGGCGGCAGGCCUAACACAUGCAAGUCGAGCGGAAACGACACUAAYRAUYCUUCGGGUGAGUUAAUGGGCGUCGAGCGGCGGACGGGUGAGUAAUGCCUAGGAAAUUGCCUUGAUGUGGGGGAUAACCAUUGGAAACGAUGGCUAAUACCGCAUAAUGCCUACGGGCCAAAGAGGGGGAUCUUCGGACCUCUCGCGUCAAGAUAUGCCUAGGUGGGAUUAGCUAGUUGGUGAGGUAAUGGCUCACCAAGGCGACGAUCCCUAGCUGGUCUGAGAGGAUGAUCAGCCACACUGGAACUGAGACACGGUCCAGACUCCUACGGGAGGCAGCAGUGGGGAAUAUUGCACAAUGGGCGAAAGCCUGAUGCAGCCAUGCCGCGUGUAUGAAGAAGGCCUUCGGGUUGUAAAGUACUUUCAGUUGUGAGGAAGGGGGUAACGUUAAUAGCGUUAUCUCUUGACGUUAGCAACAGAAGAAGCACCGGCUAACUCCGUGCCAGC
RNAcentral lists this ribosomal RNA (524 nucleotides) under Vibrio splendidus. RNAcentral describes it as "bacterial SSU rRNA". It matches the Rfam family "Bacterial small subunit ribosomal RNA", at positions 8 to 512 of the family's 1533-position model. The record is from RNAcentral. Lineage: Bacteria; Pseudomonadati; Pseudomonadota; Gammaproteobacteria; Vibrionales; Vibrionaceae.